RNAcentral lists this ribosomal RNA (2413 nucleotides) under Stephostethus liratus. RNAcentral's name for it is "eukaryotic LSU rRNA". It matches the Rfam family "Eukaryotic large subunit ribosomal RNA", at positions 44 to 1897 of the family's 3401-position model. Lineage: Eukaryota; Metazoa; Arthropoda; Insecta; Coleoptera; Latridiidae. The record is from RNAcentral.
UAAUAAGCGGAGGAAAAGAAACUAACUAGGAUUCCCCCAGUAGCGGCGAGCGAAGAGGGAUGAGCCCAGCACCGAAUCCCGCGGUCGUAACCGGCCGCUGGGAAAUGUGGUGUUUGGAAGCGUCCGUUAUCCCGAUGUCUGGCAGUGUGUCCAAGUCCAUCUUGAACGGGGCCACAACCCAUAGAGGGUGCCAGGCCCGUAGUGACCGUUGCCGAUGUCGGGAGGAUGUCUUCUGAGAGUCGGGUUGCUUGAGAGUGCAGCCCUAAGUGGGUGGUAAACUCCAUCUAAGGCUAAAUAUGACCACGAGACCGAUAGCGAACAAGUACCGUGAGGGAAAGUUGAAAAGAACUUUGAAGAGAGAGUUCAAUAGUACGUGAAACCGUUCAGGGGUAAACCUGAGAAACCCGAAAGGUCGAAGGGGGAGAUUCAUCGCGUCUCGCCUCGCCGGCACUGGGCGUUCGUGUGACGAGCGGCGUACGCGUCGCUUGCACCGUCUGUCCUCUGUGAACCGGUGGCGAACGUGUGCACUUCUCCCCUGGUAGGACGUCGCGAUCCGUUGGGUGUCGGUCUACGGCCCGUGGUGGAGCCCGUCAGCGGUGGCUUGCCACUGUCUGCGGACCCACGGUGUUUCCUGGCCGGCUCGCUCGACGGUGUACAGAUGGCGCAGGGCCGCGACUCAGUUCGCGUCCAGCCCGCGGCAAGUAUGGUAGGGCUCUGGCGAUCGGACCUGGUGCCGGUCCUGGACCCUGUUGGCUGCUAGCUGCGGUGCCCUUGGACAGACCUUGUUGAAACGCCAAUCUGCGACGCUAUUGCUUUGGGUACUUUCAGGACCCGUCUUGAAACACGGACCAAGGAGUCUAGCAUGUGCGCAAGUCAUUGGGACAUCACUAAACCCAAAGGCGUAAUGAAAGUGAAGGCUCGUCUUGUGCGAGCCGAGGGAAGAUGGGCGGUCGUUCCCAAUACGGCGGCCGUCCCGCACUCCCGGGGCGUCUCGUUCUCAUUGCGAGAAGAGGCGCACCAAGAGCGUACAUGCUGGGACCCGAAAGAUGGUGAACUAUGCCUGAUCAGGACGAAGUCAGGGGAAACCCUGAUGGAGGUCCGUAGCGAUUCUGACGUGCAAAUCGAUCGUCGGAAUUGGGUAUAGGGGCGAAAGACCAAUCGAACCAUCUAGUAGCUGGUUCCCUCCGAAGUUUCCCUCAGGAUAGCUGGCACUCGUAGCAUACGAGUCUCAUCCGGUAAAGCGAAUGAUUAGAGGCAUUGGGGUCGAAACGACCUCAACCUAUUCUCAAACUUUAAAUGGGUGAGAUCUCCGGCCUGCUCGAACAUGAGGCCGUGAGAAUAACGGAUCAGAGUGCCAAGUGGGCCAUUUUUGGUAAGCAGAACUGGCGCUGUGGGAUGAACCAAACGCCGAGUUAAAGCGCCUAAAUCGACGCUUAUGGGACACCAUGAAAGGCGUUGGUAACUUAAGACAGCAGGACGGUGGCCAUGGAAGUCGGAAUCCGCCAAGGAGUGUGUAACAACUCACCUGCCGAAGUUACUAGCCCUGAAAAUGGAUGGCGCUGAAGCGUCGUGCUUAUACUCGGCCGUCAGUGGCAUGUGCGGCAUGUGUCCGUUUCGACGGCACGGCCAUGAAGCCCUGAUGAGUAGGAGGGUCGCGGCGGUGUGCGCAGAAGGGCUGGUCGUAGGACCGUCUGGAGCCGCCGUCGGUGCAGAUCUUGGUGGUAGUAGCAAAUACUCCAGCGAGGCCCUGGAGGACUGACGUGGAGAAGGGUUUCGUGUGAACAGCUGUUGCACACGAGUCAGUCGAUCCUAAGCCCUAGGCGAAAGCCGAUGUUGAUGUGGUGUAGUUUUCAUAACGACACAUAACAGGAGAAGUAGUGCGUACGGUUCCGCUACCCACACGCCAUUAUUCUGUGUAGCAUCAUCGAUUCAAACGGUUCGAGAGACUACAACCUAGUGUUGUUUGGGCUAGUCACCGUGCGGUCGUUGAGUGUCAAGCAGAGUGUGGUCAAGUGUGGUAGGGACCAACACGCACGCAUAGCUUGUUGUCGCUUGUUGAGUUCACACCCAUCGGGCGAAAGGGAAUCCGGUUCCUAUUCCGGAACCCGGCAGCGGAACCGUCAAUAAUUCGGGCCCUUGCAAAAGAGUUCGUCGGGGCAACCCAAAAGGACCCGGAGACGCCGUCGGGAGAUCCGGGAAGAGUUUUCUUUUCUGCAUGAGCGUUCGAGUUCCAUGGAAUCCUCUAGCAGGGAGAUAUGGUUUGGAACGCGAAGAGCACCGCAGUUGCGGCGGUGUCCGGAUCUUCCCCUCGGACCUUGAAAAUCCGGGAGAGGGCCACGUGGAGGCGUCGCGCCGGUUCGUACCCAUAUCCGCAGCAGGUCUCCAAGGUAAAGAGCCUCUAGUCGAUAGAAUA